Molecule: transfer RNA, 74 nt
Filed under: Desulfosarcina widdelii
Lineage: Bacteria; Pseudomonadati; Thermodesulfobacteriota; Desulfobacteria; Desulfobacterales; Desulfosarcinaceae
Also listed under: 6 other names
Rfam family: tRNA
About the family: Transfer RNA (tRNA) molecules are approximately 80 nucleotides in length. Their secondary structure includes four short double-helical elements and three loops (D, anti-codon, and T loops). Further hydrogen bonds mediate the characteristic L-shaped molecular structure. tRNAs have two regions of fundamental functional importance: the anti-codon, which is responsible for specific mRNA codon recognition, and the 3' end, to which the tRNAs corresponding amino acid is attached (by aminoacyl-tRNA synthetases). tRNAs cope with the degeneracy of the genetic code in two manners: having more than one tRNA (with a specific anti-codon) for a particular amino acid; and 'wobble' base-pairing, i.e. permitting non-standard base-pairing at the 3rd anti-codon position.
Source: Rfam by way of RNAcentral
GCGCCCGUAGCUCAGCUGGAUAGAGCGCCGGACUUCGAAUCCGUAGGUCGCAGGUUCGAAUCCUGCCGGGCGCG